GACGAACGCUGGCGGCGUGCUUAACACAUGCAAGUCGAACGGUGAAGCUCCAGCUUGCUGGAGUGGAUCAGUGGCGAACGGGUGAGUAACACGUGAGCAACCUGCCCCUGACUCUGGAAUAAGCGCUGGAAACGGCGUCUAAUACUGGAUACGAGAAGGGUCCGCAUGGGCACUUUCUGGAAAGUUUUUCGGUUGGGGAUGGGCUCGCGGCCUAUCAGCUUGUUGGUGAGGUAAUGGUUCACCAAGGCGACGACGGGUAGCCGGCCUGAGAGGGCGACCGGCCACACUGGGACUGAGACACGGCCCAGACUCCUACGGGAGGCAGCAGUGGGGAAUAUUGCACAAUGGGCGAAAGCCUGAUGCAGCGACGCCGCGUGAGGGAUGACGGCCUUCGGGUUGUAAACCUCUUUCAGCAGGGAAGAAGCGAAAGUGACAGUACCUGCAGAAGAAGCACCGGCUAACUACGUG
This 468-nucleotide ribosomal RNA is filed under the name uncultured bacterium. RNAcentral's name for it is "partial 16S ribosomal RNA". It matches the Rfam family "Bacterial small subunit ribosomal RNA", at positions 28 to 507 of the family's 1533-position model. The record is from RNAcentral.